UUUAUGGAGAGUUUGAUCCUGGCUCAGGAUGAACGCUGGCGGCGUGCCUAAUACAUGCAAGUCGAGCGAACGGACGAGAAGCUUGCUUCUCUGAUGUUAGCGGCGGACGGGUGAGUAACACGUGGAUAACCUACCUAUAAGACUGGGAUAACUUCGGGAAACCGGAGCUAAUA
RNAcentral lists this ribosomal RNA (173 nucleotides) under Staphylococcus aureus. Its description in RNAcentral is "partial 16S ribosomal RNA". It matches the Rfam family "Bacterial small subunit ribosomal RNA", at positions 1 to 168 of the family's 1533-position model. The record is from RNAcentral. Lineage: Bacteria; Bacillati; Bacillota; Bacilli; Caryophanales; Staphylococcaceae.